This 1072-nucleotide ribosomal RNA is filed under the name uncultured bacterium. Its description in RNAcentral is "bacterial SSU rRNA". It matches the Rfam family "Bacterial small subunit ribosomal RNA", at positions 73 to 1162 of the family's 1533-position model. The record is from RNAcentral.
CCUCUGCUUGCAGGGGUGCUCGAGUGGCGAACGGGUGAGUAACACGUGGGUGAUCUGCCUUGUACUCUGGGAUAAGCUUGGGAAACUGGGUCUAAUACCGGAUAGGAACUGCCUUUAGUGUGGUGGUUGGAAAGUUUUUUCGGUGCAAGAUGAGCUCGCGGCCUAUCAGCUUGUUGGUGGGGUAAUGGCCUACCAAGGCGUCGACGGGUAGCCGGCCUGAGAGGGUGUACGGCCACAUUGGGACUGAGAUACGGCCCAGACUCCUACGGGAGGCAGCAGUGGGGAAUAUUGCACAAUGGGCGGAAGCCUGAUGCAGCGACGCCGCGUGGGGGAUGACGGCCUUCGGGUUGUAAACUCCUUUCGACAGGGACGAAGCGCAAGUGACGGUACCUGUAUAAGAAGCACCGGCUAACUACGUGCCAGCAGCCGCGGUAAUACGUAGGGUGCGAGCGUUGUCCGGAAUUACUGGGCGUAAAGAGCUCGUAGGUGGUUUGUCGCGUCGUCUGUGAAAUUCCGGGGCUUAACUCCGGGCGUGCAGGCGAUACGGGCAUAACUUGAGUGCUGUAGGGGAGACUGGAAUUCCUGGUGUAGCGGUGAAAUGCGCAGAUAUCAGGAGGAACACCGAUGGCGAAGGCAGGUCUCUGGGCAGUUACUGACGCUGAGGAGCGAAAGCAUGGGUAGCGAACAGGAUUAGAUACCCUGGUAGUCCAUGCCGUAAACGGUGGGCGCUAGGUGUAGGGGGCUUCCACGUCUUCUGUGCCGUAGCUAACGCAUUAAGCGCCCCGCCUGGGGAGUACGGCCGCAAGGCUAAAACUCAAAGGAAUUGACGGGGGCCCGCACAAGCGGCGGAGCAUGUGGAUUAAUUCGAUGCAACGCGAAGAACCUUACCUGGGCUUGACAUACACCAGAUCGCUGCAGAGAUGUAGUUUCCCUUGUGGUUGGUGUACAGGUGGUGCAUGGUUGUCGUCAGCUCGUGUCGUGAGAUGUUGGGUUAAGUCCCGCAACGAGCGCAACCCUUGUCUUAUGUUGCCAGCAUUUGGUUGGGGACUCAUGAGAGACUGCCGGGGUUAAC